This 124-nucleotide non-coding RNA is filed under the name bovine gut metagenome. RNAcentral describes it as "Moco (molybdenum cofactor) riboswitch". It matches the Rfam family "Molybdenum/Tungsten riboswitch aptamer (Moco RNA motif)". The record is from RNAcentral.
UUACAAUGCUCCGAGCCACACCGCCUAAAGCGUAUGCCAUGGCGGUCUGGCCGUGGGGGGUUCCCUCGCCGGGGUAUGGCUGGAAACGGUCGUGCCUUCCCUGUCUGAAAAGGAGCAGAAUAUG